GAUGUGCGCAAGCACUUUUCCCCUUCAUACACCUGUGCACCGUGGUCUCCGGACCUUUACAAACAUUGUAGUCAAGAACGUCUUCUAUGAUAACAAAAUAAAACUUUCAACAACGGAUCUCUUGGCUCU
Molecule: unclassified non-coding RNA, 129 nt
Filed under: rhizosphere metagenome
Description: partial ribosomal RNA internal transcribed spacer region
Source: RNAcentral